RNAcentral lists this long non-coding RNA (893 nucleotides) under Callithrix jacchus (white-tufted-ear marmoset). Its description in RNAcentral is "lncRNA (ENSCJAG00000075371.1)". Lineage: Eukaryota; Metazoa; Chordata; Mammalia; Primates; Cebidae. The record is from RNAcentral.
GUCCCAUUUGUCUAUUUUGGCUUUGUUCGCCAAUGCUUUUGGUGUUUUCGUCAUGAAGUCCUUGCCUAUGCCUAUGUCCUGAAUGGUUUUGCCUAGAUUUUCUUCUAGGGUUUUUAUGGUGUUAGGUCUUAUGUUUAAGUCUUUAAUCCAUCUGGAGUUAAUUUUAGUGUAAGGUGUCAGGAAGGGGUCCAGUUUCUGCUUUCUGCACGUGACUAGUGAAUUUUCCCGGCACCAUUUAUUAAACAAGGAAUCCUUUCCCCGUUGCUUGUUUUUGUCAGGUUUGUCAAAGAUCAGAGGAUUGCAGAUGUGUGACAUUGCCUCCAAGGCCUCUGUUCUGUUCCAUUGGUUUAAGUGCCCUGGCUAAGACUUCCAGGACCAUGUUGAAUAGAAGUGAUUCCUCUUGCCUAGCCACGCUGAUGGAUAUGAGAUUUGUGAAAGAUUAUUAGAAUGAUUACAACAAGCUAUAUUCCUUCCUUAUUUCCUGCAAGUGGGAGGAGCACGUAUGACAAACAGAAAAAUGAAAGAGCCAAAAAAGAUGUGAUAGUCUAUUUGUCCCUCUUACACUGUAUAUAAAAUAACCAUCGUGGGACUCAACACCCUGCAGUAUGCUCAGAGAAGAAUGAUUUGGUUGAUGGAAUGAUCUAAAACCCUACCAAGCAUCAAAGAACUAGAAAUCUCCAGCCAAGGGAGUGAUGUCCUUUCAUUCACCUUCCAAUAGUGAGAAAUUCUUAUGCUAAAAAGCGUUAGCCUUCCUCUCUGUGGUCUGAAAGACCAGAAAUAGAAUGGAAGUCAGAAGAAGGUAGACUUCUCUCCACAGAAUGAGUUUCCUUGCAAUUUAGCCAUAUAAAAUGUAUAUCAUUGUCUCAUAAGGUAGUAGAUUCCUUACCACUGAG